GAGCUCGUAGGCGGUUUGUCGCGUCUGCUGUGAAAUCCCGAGGCUCAACCUCGGGCCUGCAGUGGGUACGGGCAGACUAGAGUGCGGUAGGGGAGAUUGGAAUUCCUGGUGUAGCGGUGGAAUGCGCAGAUAUCAGGAGGAACACCGAUGGCGAAGGCAGAUCUCUGGGCCGUAACUGACGCUGAGGAGCGAAAGGGUGGGGAGCAAACAGGAUUAGAAACCCUNGUAGUC
This 231-nucleotide ribosomal RNA is filed under the name Mycetocola sp. RNAcentral's name for it is "partial 16S ribosomal RNA". It matches the Rfam family "Bacterial small subunit ribosomal RNA", at positions 565 to 795 of the family's 1533-position model. The record is from RNAcentral. Lineage: Bacteria; Bacillati; Actinomycetota; Actinomycetes; Micrococcales; Microbacteriaceae.